RNAcentral lists this long non-coding RNA (1340 nucleotides) under Homo sapiens (human). RNAcentral describes it as "RHOXF1 antisense RNA 1". Lineage: Eukaryota; Metazoa; Chordata; Mammalia; Primates; Hominidae. The record is from RNAcentral.
CAGUGGCCUCAGGGAUAUGGAAUUAAGAUCCACCUGGUGUGAUGAAUAAACCCAGACUCUCAGCAACGCAGGAAAAAAAAAACAAAAACUGGCUGGCGAUCUGGAGUAAAGGAUCCUCACAUCCACGUGAACCAGGAAACUCUGUGCCCAAAUCGACGAAAAAAAAACACUGGGAGAGCCGAACUAAAAGUCUUUUAGCACGGGUACCAGCCCUAGAAUUUCCAGUACACCAGCAGCAGCCUGGAAACCACAUCCUCAUCAAAAGACAGAAAGAAAAAAACUCGAGCCAGCCUGAGAAGGACCCUAUUUUAUGCUGUUAACCACUGAGACUGCCAUCCUCACAGCUGAGAAAGGAUGGACCCACCAUACUCAAGUCAAGAAAACAUCUUCCUCGUCAGAAUCAUGGGUUACUGUACUAGGAUUAAGCCUUACUAAGUUAAAGUUAAAGAAAGCUUAAUUUUCAUAUACCUUCUAUAUUGCUUCUUUUCCUUUCCUUAUUCUGUUACUAGCUCCUUUGUUAUUAAUGUAACUAAGUCUGAGUCACCUCAGACCAUUGCCUUUUAUGCUUGCUCUGUCAUACCUUGUGGAAAUGUAAAAGAUCAAUGACAGCUAGCCUUUUCACACAAUUAUUUAUGCCUCGGCCCUCUAAUUGACACAGUUACCCCUAGCACUCAUCGUUGUGAUCACCUGCAGCCAAGACGCUGAUUUUCUGCUCCUAUAGCCUGGCAACCUUGUGGUACAUGGGACUACGUCCUUUAAACUACCCAGGAGCAAAGUUGGACUUCCAUGAAAAAGGUUUGUGCAGAUCUAAAACCUCUCAUCUAUUUCACUAAAAGGACUUCCCCUUCUAACUGUCACCCUUACCAAUGUAACCCUGUCCUCUCUAUCACCACCUCCACCUGUCUUUAACUAACUCUAGACCUGUCCUUAAUUGCUUUUAUGGUAUUGGAAUAGGAAUUAAAAGAAAUUAAAGAAUGUGUAAGGAGAAACUCAGUUGUAUGUAAGAAAACCCAAUUCCCCCUGAGAAAGAGAAAGAGUUGGAGUCCUUUAAAAAUUAACUGCCUGUUUUUCUGUGGCUAGUGAGCCUUAUCUCUCCUCCUUUCCCAGACAUUGUGAAGACCCUGUUUCUCUAGCUGUGCAGCUGCAAGGUCACUAGACAGAUAAACUCAAGUUGUAAAACAUGUUUUUCCUUGAAAAGUAAGAAAUGCUGUAAUGCAUUUCUCAAUUAAUUAAAUAACUGUCUUUGUUUCUCGCUUCUGUAAUAUGCUUCCCCCUGCACAGAUCUCCACCCACCCUACAAAAUGCUUAAAAGGUAACUUAACUCUUUGUUCUGGGCUCAG